Ahaetulla prasina is the source of this 2854-nucleotide RNA transcript. It is a transcript of the gene named negative regulator of reactive oxygen species, with no coding region annotated. The record is from RefSeq and is a predicted model, not a curated record. The transcript has 4 exons. Lineage: Eukaryota; Metazoa; Chordata; Lepidosauria; Squamata; Colubridae.
UUGCAACUUGCUUUGGGAUCCAUGUGACCGUAUUUCCUUCCGCAAAAACUAUAUUAAUCUGAUCUUAAGCGAGUGCAAACAGCUAAUUGUAUUAUCAUUAUCUUUUUGAGAAAUACUGUAGGGUAACAAAACAAGUGUUGGUACAGAAUGAGCCUCUCAGAAUUGAAUACGUUGCUCCAAACGGAGUCCUGUUGAAAUGGCAUUAACUGCUGUGAUAUGCAUAGCCAUAUGCAUAGCUUUUCUGGAUACAGGAUGGGCAACAAAACCCACAACCUAUCAUAAUAUUUGCAAACUAAAAAAGAGAAGUGCAGAUUGCAAUGGGAGGCGGCUGAGUUCUGUCCUAGAAGACUUGCCCGCUGGGAUUGAGGAACUCGUCCUAGAUGCCAACGUUCUACAAACUCUUUCAAAUGGAUCUUUCAUACAAUAUCAUGUUCUACAGAACCUCAGUCUGCAUGCAAAUGGGUUGAAACUCAUUGAACCUGGAGCAUUUCUUGGCAUUAGGAAUCUUAGUCUGCUAACCCUGUCAGACAAUUUCCUUUCCUUCAAUUAUUCUGUAACAGCAUCUGCUUUACAGACUUUGACUUACCUGAGGAAACUGGACCUCUCUGGAAACCAGCUUACUGAGCUUAUGAUGGGCAAAUUUAUCCAGCAUUUGUCUUCUCUAGAAUCCUUGUCUUUAGCAAGGAAUGCCAUCAUGAGGUUAGAUGACUCUCACUUCAGAAACCUGCUCAAUCUGCAACAUCUGGAUUUACAGCAGAACUAUAUCUUUGAAAUUGAGGCUGGGGCAUUUGAAAACAUGCCAGCUCUGCAACAGCUUAAUAUGGCCUACAACAACAUACCUUGCAUUGUGCAGUUUGAUCUGAUCCAACUUCGGAUGUUAAAUGUUAGCAAUAAUCAUAUUGAAUGGUUCUUGUCUGCAGACAAUAAUGCUUCUUUUGAACUGGAAACACUAGAUCUUUCCUACAACCAGCUUCUGUUCUUCCCACUACUGCCCAAGUUAAAUAAAUUGCAGGCUCUGCUGCUGACACACAACCACAUGAAUUUCUAUGGCAAAUUUUUCAAUAAUUCAAGCAGCUCAGUUCAGCUACUGUUCCUAGAUGGCAAUAUCAUUAACAUUACCAGCCAAGAACUUUGGGAAGAAAACAAUAAUGGCAAUCUCUCUUCCUUAGAAUUUCUGGAUAUGAGCUGGAAUGAGUUCUCUUAUUUUCCAGACUACUUUUUUAAGGGGUUAAUUUCCCUUCUUUAUCUGAAUCUCAGUCACAAUUGCUUAAAGACACUGAACAUAGAGGACAGGGAAAUGCUAAAUACUCUCAUUGACUUGGAUCUCAGCCACAACCUGCUUUCAAAGCUACAGAUGAAUUUGGGUUCUGAAGGCAGUUUAACCAACCUCAGAAAGUUUAAUCUUAGCACCAAUAGUCUACACGGCUUGCCACAUCAAUUCUUUAUCCAUGUAAGAAAAAUCACUACAAUUGACAUCAGUAAAAACCCAAUCCACAUCUGUUAUCCAUAUAGUGCUACAAGCCCUGAUUGUGUAACUUUUACUUAUGCUAAUUCCUUAAGGGACCUUGUAUUGUCUGGCUGUAACCUAAGCAUGUUAUCCUGCCAUUUCUUUAAGGGGACUUCCCUCACAUAUUUAGAUCUUUCUAAUAAUCCUAGGUUGCUUAUUAGUGGCUUGGGAACUCUGAAAGAUAUAACUUCAUCCAUACAGGUACUCUAUCUUAGAAAUACUGGCCUCUCUGCUGCAGGCACAAAGAUGGACUUUUCUGCAUUUCAGAAACUGGUAAAUUUGGAUCUGUCUGGAAACAGUUUGGUGUACUUCCCAGAAUCCUUAAUAGACCUUAAACUUUAUACUCUAGAUCUCAGGAUGAAUUUCUACCAUACCCUACCUCAAUACUUCAUGGGAAAGCAACUUGGAAAGAGUUUGCGCAUGAUCUACCUCAGUGAGAAUCCUUAUGACUGCUGCAAAAUGGGCUGGUGGGAUACUCUGCAAAGCCAUAGAACCCUACGCAUUGGAGACAUGACUGACAUCACUUGUAAUUACUCCUCCAGAUUCAUCAGUGCAACAAAUAUACCUGAAUCAGUUCACCAUGACUGUAGGUGGCUAACAGCUAAUAUAGCUUUGUUGUAUCUGGUGCUUAUUCUUCCCACCUGUUUGACCCUGCUGUUUACUUUUAUCAUCAUCUUUUUAAUUUACAGGGAAAAAAUUCUUCAGAUGCUAAAGAGCAGGCAUAAGAAACCCAGCCCAUACUGAAAUUUGGUGGCAGAAAGAAGCAAUCUAAUCUAAUAGCACUCAAUAAUAUGCUUAGAAGGUUACAUCUGCAGUCACAGAUUUAGUUACAAUGUGCAGAUUUGUUAUGCCAUAUAUAGGAACAAGAAAGAUUAACUGGUUGCAUUCAAUACCAUCAUUCCAGACAUUCUUCUAACUAAGCUAAACCAGCUACAGGUACCGGAACAGACUUGUAAGUGGAUCACAGCUUCCUAACAAACAGGAAGCAGCAGGUGAAGCUAAGCAAGAUCACAUCAAAUACCUGUACAAUUAGCACAGGGCCCCCCCAAGGCUGUGUGCUCUCACCACUUCUCUUCUCUCUGUAUACCAAUGACUGCAUCUCCAAUGAUCCAUCUGUUAAGCUACUGAAGUUCGCAGAUGACACAACAGUGAUUGGUCUCAUUCGAGACAAUGACGAAUCCGCAUAUAGAUGAGAGGUCGAACGACUAGCCUUGUGGUGCAACCAAAACAAUCUGGAACUGAACACACUCAAAACCGUAGAAAUGGUGGUAGACUUUAGGAGAAACCCUUCCAUACUUCCACCUCUCACAAUACUUGACAACACAGUAUCAACAGUAGAAACCUUCA